Molecule: ribosomal RNA, 776 nt
Filed under: uncultured Neocallimastigales
Lineage: Eukaryota; Fungi; Neocallimastigomycota; Neocallimastigomycetes; Neocallimastigales
Description: partial large subunit ribosomal RNA
Rfam family: Eukaryotic large subunit ribosomal RNA
Source: RNAcentral
UUAUGUGAUCGUCUCUCGCAUAUCAAUAAGCGGAGGAAAAGAAACUAACAAGGAUUCCCCUAGUAACGGCGAGUGAAGCGGGAAGAGCUCAAAUUUGAAAUCUUAAAGGGUUUCCCUUUACGAAUUGUAGUUUAAAGAAGUGUUUUCUGUUGAGGUUUUGGUAAAAGUUCUUUGGAAUAGGACAUCAUAGAGGGUGAGAAUCCCGUAUUUGACCUUUACUUUCAACUUUGUGAUACUACUUUCAAAGAGUCGGAUUGUUUGGGAAUGCAGUCCAAAAUGGGUGGUAAAUUUCAUCUAAAGCUAAAUAUUGGCGAGAGACCGAUAGCGAACAAGUACCGUGAGGGAAAGAUGAAAAGAACUUUGAAAAGAGAGUUAAACAGUACGUGAAAUUGUCAAAAGGGAAGCGUUUGACACCAGUGUUGUUUUUCUGAAAAUCAAUUAAAGAACUGUUUAUGCUAAGUUGUUUAGACUUUAUCAGCUAACUGUUUAGUUUUGAGCUUUUCUUUAAUGCACUUUUCAGUUAACAAGUCAACAUCAAUUUCUUUUGCUGUAAAAAAGCUUGAGGAAGGUGGCUUGAGAUUCGUCUUAAGUGUUUAUAGCCUCUUGCCUAUGCAGUCGGAGAGAUUGAGGUCUGCAGCGUAGAUCCUUCGGGGCUAAAUGCAUUUGUGCUAAGUUAUAGCAUUUUAUAGACAACUUGUUGACUAUGAUUUGUCUUGUAGCUUACUCGCUUAUGUUAUUUUACCUACGCUUAGGAUGUUGACUGAUAUGUAGUCGUA